This 2037-nucleotide long non-coding RNA is filed under the name Canis lupus familiaris (dog). Its description in RNAcentral is "lncRNA (ENSCAFG00845028595.1)". The record is from RNAcentral. Lineage: Eukaryota; Metazoa; Chordata; Mammalia; Carnivora; Canidae.
CUCCUCUGCAUAAUCCAAGUGGGGAUUUCACAAAGUGAAGAACAUUGGCCGCGAAGCGUGAAGUCCUGGCUUCUAGCCCUUGCCCUAUACCCCUAACCCUAACACCUUUGGAGCUAAUCUCAGCCCUGCUGGACUGAAAUGCUCCAGGGCUUGGGCUAGUUCCUUCCAGGGUUUCAAAUCCCUGAGCCUCUGCUCGGGCCUUGGAAUGUGGCCCGGAAACCUAUCCAGGUGCGCAGUGGCCACAGGGACCUGGAGCAGGGAGAGCCAGGGGGUGGGAAGCUGGGUGCAGGCUGGGGUGAUGUGCUAAGCUGCGUCCCACUUGCUGACAUUUGCUUUAUUGCAUUAAAGUCUUUCUCUGAAGGGUGAGUAAGUCCUCUAAAUCAGGCGUAUGAGGAUUGCUCAUAAGCCCGUGAGUCACUGAAGGGUAAGCCAAGUGAAGCCCCACAGCUGGGGAUGGCUUUUGACUCUCACUCCCUUAAUAAUCUCAUUAAUUACACCUCCAUCUGUGUCAAGACCAACUUCACACUGGCUUCCAGUACCAGGUGGGGAAUUGAAGCUGGUGCCGUCUGGCUCCUUCAUCCCCAGAUUUUGACGAAACACUUUUGGGUUAGUCUCUAGGAACAGUUCUGGGAGAAUAGAGAUAGUAGCUCUCCCCCGAUUGUUUCCCAGUUGGGUCUGUGGGUGAGCACCUUGAGGUCCAUUCUUGCUCCUGAGCCGGGCCUGAUGGGGCAGGAAAUGUACGAGCAGCCCCACGCCAGCGUGCUAGCAGAAGCCCUGUGUACCUGCUGGUCUCCUUUGUGUGAGGACCUGGAAAAAUACUGUCUAGGCCUCAAAACCCUAAGCAAUCUCUGGAUUGCUGGUGGUUUAUCUUCUGAACACCAUAAAGCUCAUGCCUGCCCUGUUUCCUUCCUUGCUCAGCCCACUAGGCAGCCCAGAAUGAAAGUUUUCUCCUUCCUUGUGACAAUUAUACGAUUGUCCGCAAUGACGUUAUGGCAUUUGUCUCUGAACUUUCUUUUACUUCUAUUUCCACAGUGACUUACAAAAAAAAAAAAAAAAUACAAAUCAACCCUUGGGUAGUAAAGUUGAGACAUAUCAUACGCAUUUAUGGAAUGAAGUGGUGUAUGAAUACAUGUGGGGAGAAGCCUGUUUAUGUUCAGUGCUGCUACUCUAUCUCCUUCUGGAGGAUUCAUCCACCCAACUAGGUUCCUUUGCCUUCUCAGUAACUGCCAAGGUCUAUUCUUUCUGGAAUAAAUCCUGUACAGACUCCAAGGCCCAUGGCUCGGGCCCUCGGUCCUUGUCUCUCAAUUUCUGGGACUGCCCUCCACUUCAACCUGGCAUUCUGCUGCCAGUAAGCUCUGAUAGGGAGAACCCACGAACAGAUGGACAGAUUGCUCCAAGCCACAACACAGCCUCUCCUGAUCUCUACACACCCGAUGUGAGGGAUGUGAUCUGUGCUUAGAUAACCAGCACUGCUCCAUCCAUUUAGCACUGAGCACCUGCCAGCACCUGGGAUUCAGUAGGGCAGGAUGAGAGCCAAGUGGCCCUACACUUAAGGAUUUCAUAAGUAUUAGUGACUUUCAGCCCCAGACUGGAGCUGGUCUUUGAGGCCCCACACAAUCCCCUUCCCCACUCCCUUCUCCUAGACUCCAGCUUCAACCUCUCCCCUCUGGCUCCAGCAUACUUCAUGCAAGCUCCCUGCACAUAGCAGCCUGUACACGUGGCCAUGUUCACCUGUGCAAAGAGCUGAGCUCUGGUGUGGUGCAUCCCGAAGUUUCUCUUGUAUUGUUUCCUAACUUGUUUUGAAUGCUGUAUUAGCCUUGGCCCCCACCCCCACCUCCAGGUGGCUCAGUGGUUUAGCGCCACCUUCGGCCCAGGGCGUGAUCCUGGAGACCUAGGAUGGAGUCCCACGUCCAGCUCCCUGCAAGGAGCCUGCUUCUUCCUCUGCCUGUGUCUCUGCCUCCCUCUCUCUCUCUCUCUCUCUGUGUGUGUGUGUGUGUGUUUGUGUGCUUCUCAUUAAUAAAUAAAUAAAAUCUUUUU